GGAUCUCCUUUACGGGCUGCGGCAGCGGAGGGCCCCGGGUGUGAGGAGCCUCACGGCAGAGCUGGCUGGGCCUUCUCACCGUGAGAUACAGUUUGCUACAUUUCAAUAAGGGUGAGUACAGAUAUUUUCAGAAUCCAUAUUAUAAUGUAUACAAGGUUUUUUUUUUUAAUCAAAUUGUGUUAUGUAUA
Long non-coding RNA from Spea bombifrons (plains spadefoot toad), 188 nucleotides. RefSeq lists it as uncharacterized. The record is from RefSeq and is a predicted model, not a curated record. Lineage: Eukaryota; Metazoa; Chordata; Amphibia; Anura; Pelobatidae. The transcript has 3 exons.